Molecule: ribosomal RNA, 589 nt
Filed under: Anabaena iyengarii AUS-JR/BS/MS/NT-048
Lineage: Bacteria; Bacillati; Cyanobacteriota; Cyanophyceae; Nostocales; Nostocaceae
Also listed under: 1 other name
Description: bacterial SSU rRNA
Rfam family: Bacterial small subunit ribosomal RNA
Source: RNAcentral
GGAUGGUCACUGCUGGAACGGCAGCUAAGACCGGAUAUGCCCUUGGGUGAAAUAUUGUAUAGCCAAAAGAGGAGCUCGCGACCGAUUAGCUAGUUGGUGGGGUAAGAGCCUACCAAGGCUGCGAUCGGUAGCCGGUUUGAGAGGACGACCGGCCACACUGGGACUGAGACACGGCCCAGACUCCUACGGGAGGCAGCAGUGGGGAAUUUUCCGCAAUGGGCGAAAGCCUGACGGAGCAAUACCGCGUGAGGGAGGAAGGCUCUUGGGUCGUAAACCUCUUUUCUCAAGGAAGAAUCAAAUGACGGUACUUGAGGAAUCAGCAUCGGCUAACUCCGUGCCAGCAGCCGCGGUAAUACGGAGGAUGCAAGCGUUAUCCGGAAUGAUUGGGCGUAAGCGUCCGCAGGUGGCACAUCAAGUCUGCUGUCAAGCCCCAGCUUACUGGGAAAAGCGGUGGAACUGGUGACUAGAGACAAUAGGGUAGAGGAAUUCCGGUGUACGGUGAAUGCGUAAAAUCGGAAAAACCCAGUGGCGAAGCGCUCUACUAGUUGCGACUGACCUGAGGGACAAAGCUAGGGAACCAAGGGAUAAU